UACGUAGGGUGCUAGCGUUGUUCGGAAUCAUUGGGCGUAAAGCGAGUGUAGGCUGUUUAUUAAGUCGGGUGUGAAAGCCCUGGGCUCAACCCAGGAAGUGCAUCCGAAACUAAUAAACUAGAAGACGGUAGAGGAAGGUGGAAUUCCAAGUGUAGAGGUGAAAUUCGUAGAUAUUUGGAGGAAUACCGGUGGCGAAGGCGGCCUUCUGGGCCGUUCUUGACGCUGAGACUCGAAAGCGUGGGUAGCAAACAGGAUUAGAUACCCUGGUAGUCCACGCCGUAAACGAUGGGUACUAGGUGUUGCGGGAAUUGACCCCUGCAGUGCCGAAGCUAACGCAUUAAGUACCCCGCCUGGGAAGUACGGCCGCAAGGUUA
This 374-nucleotide ribosomal RNA is filed under the name uncultured prokaryote. Its description in RNAcentral is "bacterial SSU rRNA". It matches the Rfam family "Bacterial small subunit ribosomal RNA", at positions 524 to 896 of the family's 1533-position model. The record is from RNAcentral.